UACAGAGGUCCCAAGCGUUGUUCGGAUUCACUGGGCGUAAAGGGUGCGUAGGUGGCGGGGUAAGUUUGAUGUGAAAUCUCCGGGCUUAACCCGGAAACUGCAUUGAAUACUAUUCUGCUCGAGGAUUGGAAGGGAGACUGGAAUACUUGGUGUAGCAGUGAAAUGCGUAGAUAUCAAGUGGAACACCAGUGGCGAAGGCGAGUCUCUGGACAAUUCCUGACACUGAGGCACGAAAGCUAGGGGAGCAAACAGG
RNAcentral lists this ribosomal RNA (253 nucleotides) under uncultured bacterium. RNAcentral describes it as "partial 16S ribosomal RNA". It matches the Rfam family "Bacterial small subunit ribosomal RNA", at positions 524 to 776 of the family's 1533-position model. The record is from RNAcentral.